Molecule: ribosomal RNA, 253 nt
Filed under: uncultured bacterium
Lineage: Bacteria
Description: partial 16S ribosomal RNA
Rfam family: Bacterial small subunit ribosomal RNA
Source: RNAcentral
UACGAAGGGGACUAGCGUUGUUCGGAACCACUGGGCGUAAAGCGCACGUAGGCGGAUGUGUCAGUCAGGGGUGAAAUCCCGGGGCUCAACCUCGGAACUGCCUUUGAUACAGCACGUCUCGAGUCCGGAAGAGGUGGGUGGAAUUCCUAGUGUAGAGGUGAAAUUCGUAGAUAUUAGGAAGAACACCGGUGGCGAAGGCGGCCCACUGGUCCGGUACUGACGCUGAGGUGCGAAAGCGUGGGGAGCAAACAGG